GACGAACGCUGGCGGCGUGCUUAACACAUGCAAGUCGAACGGAAAGGCCCUGCUUUUGUGGGGUGCUCGAGUGGCGAACGGGUGAGUAACACGUGAGUAUCCUGCACUUGACUUUGGGAUAACUUCAGGAAACUGGGGCUAAUACCGGAUAGGAGCUACUGCUGCAUGGGGGGGGUUGGAAAGUUUCGGCGGUUGGGGAUGGACUCGCGGCUUAUCAGCUUGUUGGUGGGGUAGUGGCUUACCAAGGCUUUGACGGGUAGCCGGCCUGAGAGGGUGACCGGGCACAUGGGGACUAAGAGACGGCGCAGACGCCUACGGGAGGCAGCAGUGGGGAGUAUUGCGCAAUGGGCGGAAGCCUGAUGCAGCAGCGCCGCGUGCGGGAUGACGGCCUUCGGGUGGUAAACCGCUUUCGCCUGUGACGAAGCGUGAGUGACGGUAAUGGGUAAAGAAGCACCGGCUAACUACGUG
RNAcentral lists this ribosomal RNA (468 nucleotides) under uncultured bacterium. RNAcentral describes it as "partial 16S ribosomal RNA". It matches the Rfam family "Bacterial small subunit ribosomal RNA", at positions 28 to 507 of the family's 1533-position model. The record is from RNAcentral.